This 570-nucleotide ribosomal RNA is filed under the name uncultured bacterium. RNAcentral's name for it is "partial 16S ribosomal RNA". It matches the Rfam family "Bacterial small subunit ribosomal RNA", at positions 355 to 938 of the family's 1533-position model. The record is from RNAcentral.
UGGGGAAUAUUGCACAAUGGGCGGAAAGCCCUGAUGCAGCAACGCCGCGUGAGUGAUGAAGGCCCUUCGGGGUUGUAAAGCUCUUGUCUUUUGGGACGAUAAUGACGGUACCAAAGGAGGAAGCCACGGCUAACUACGUGCCAGCAGCCGCGGUAAUACGUAGGUGGCAAGCGUUGUCCGGAUUUACUGGGCGUAAAGGAUGCGUAGGCGGAUUUUUAAGUGAGAUGUGAAACCCUAAGCUUAACUUGGGGGACUGCAUUUCAUACUGGAAAUCUAGAGUGCGGGAGAGGAGAAUGGAAUUCCUAGUGUAGCGGUGAAAUGCGUAGAGAUUAGGAAGAACACCAGUGGCGAAGGCGAUUCUCUGGACCGUAACUGACGCUGAGGCAUGAAAGCGUGGGUAGCAAACAGGAUUAGAUACCCUGGUAGUCCACGCCGUAAACGAUGAGUUACUAGGUGUAGGAGGUAUCGACCCCUUCUGUGCCGCAGUUAACACAAUAAGUACUCCGCCUGGGGAAGUACGAUCGCAAGAUUAAAACUUAAAUGAAUUGACGGGGGUCAUAGCUGUUUCCU